Molecule: long non-coding RNA, 1550 nt
Organism: Tachysurus vachellii
Lineage: Eukaryota; Metazoa; Chordata; Actinopteri; Siluriformes; Bagridae
Exons: 2
Source: RefSeq, a predicted model, not a curated record
AGCCGAGUCUGACGUCACUGUAUACGUGUCACGUUUCCCAGCAACGUUAGCGCAGCAGCGGCGAAACACAAACACAACAUCAACAAUGGCGGAUGCUGCUUUACUGUUAAUGCUCAUGGCUUUGUGAACCUACAUUGGUAUCCAAACGCGGCGAAUCCGACGUGUAUGAAAAAAAGUUAGCCUUAGCAUGUAGCUACCUACUAUCAUGUGUUCUGAUAAUUGAUCAUAUUGCGGUAAAGUAAAAGUGUAUUAAACAUUAGUAUACGUAAGGUACAUUAUCUAUAGCCCUAUUCGGACGGGAUUAGUUUUACGUGGGGGUAAAGUAAUUAUUACCAGAGCUUCUCGGUGAUUUUAGUCCCAUCCGAAUGUGCCAUCUCUGUAAUCAUUACGGACAGUAAUGUCAGUAAAGAUUACGGCGACUUUUACCUUCUGUAAAAAGGUCCGGAAAAAUGACCUCAGGUAAUACUAAUCCCUUCCGAAUAGACCCGCUGUAAAUAUGUACGGUAAAAUUCCGUCAUUUCCUGUUUAAAAGUAGUUUUUGGCGCGUUUUGCAAGCAUGGAGACGCCAUGUUGUCUGUUUGCGCACGUGAUAACAGGAAGCAACGUCAUACGCACAUGACGACAAGGAGGUUACUGUGGUGCGUAAAGCGAGUUACCCCUCCCACUUCUGCUAGUCUUACUGAGAUGUCUUGUCCCGUGCGAAUUGGCCAAUUAAUAUUACAGACGUCCUGAGGUAAAAUUGCAUUACUCCACGUCCCCACGUAAAACUAAUCCUGUCCGAAUAGGGCUAAAGGCACUAACAGUAGCCCCGCCCACAGCCCCUCCCACAGCUCCUGACACAAGCGGUUCUUAAUUCUAGACCAGCAACGUUUUGGUGCUACUUAAGAACCACUUUUCCUGGUUCAGAGCCGGUGCUUUGGCUGACGAAAAAGAAAGAACUGGUUCUAAAUUAGGCUCCGAACCAGCACUCAAACUGCCUCGGUGGAAAAGGGGCAUGAGUGAACAGACUUAAGUAUUGUAAGAUUUCAUUGCUCAUCGUUUCUCAUCGGACUGAUGAUUUCCAAAAGCUGCACAUAUCACCGGAUUAUGAAAUUCAACCGGUUGUCAUGCAAAUAUUCUUCUUCGUGAUGUUACAAGGCUUUCUCACAAUUCUUUGUACGUCUUCGGCUCUGUUUCUAUAGUUACCAUAUUGAGAUAUUUAAGUUGAUGCUUUUCUUCUGUCUUUUGUAAUGUAUUUUUUUUUUUUUUUUGUUUCUUUAAAAUGACUCCAUAAUAUUGUGGCACCCAGAGCAUUCGUUUGAGAACAGACAGUUUGUACAAAUUAUGCAAGUCUUAAACAUUAAAUGGAGGUUAACAUAACAGGAAUAUUUAGUAAAAUUAGAGACUUUAUGAUAUUUUUUUAUCGAUAAAAUCUGUUUAGCCGAAAUCUACGAUGUUAAUGUUCUUUUUGUACAGAAAUGUAAUGGGGGUGAAAUGCAAAUAGCAGAACAUGUUUAUUUUUAACUUUAGCUCAGAUACAAAGGUCAAUAAAGUCUAUCUUAAUCGAACAA